RNAcentral lists this ribosomal RNA (464 nucleotides) under uncultured bacterium. RNAcentral's name for it is "bacterial SSU rRNA". It matches the Rfam family "Bacterial small subunit ribosomal RNA", at positions 199 to 644 of the family's 1533-position model. The record is from RNAcentral.
GGAGGAAGCAGGGGAUCGCAAGACCUUGCGCUUUUGGAGCGGCCGAUGCCUGAUUAGCUUGUUGGUGAGGUAAAAGCUCACCAAGGCUCCGAUCAGUAGCUGGUCUGAGAGGACGACCAGCCACACUGGGACUGAGACACGGCCCAGACUCCUACGGGAGGCAGCAGUGGGGAAUUUUGGACAAUGGGGGCAACCCUGAUCCAGCCAUGCCGCGUGAGUGAAGAAGGCCUUCGGGUUGUAAAGCUCUUUCAGCCGGAACGAAACGGUCACGGUCAAUACCCGUGACUACUGACGGUACCGGAAGAAGAAGCACCGGCUAACUACGUGCCAGCAGCCGCGGUAAUACGUAGGGUGCGAGCGUUAAUCGGAAUUACUGGGCGUAAAGCGUGCGCAGGCGGUUUUGUAAGUCAGAUGUGAAAUCCCCGGGCUUAACCUGGGAACUGCGUUUGAAACUACAAAGCUAG